GGAUAUAUUAGGCAGCGAGUGAACAGUCAGUUCUCGAAGUUGAUGUGUUGCAAGCAGGAAAGCAUAAGGAUCUGAGUGAUUUUGACAAGGGCCAAAUUGUCAUGGCUAGAUGAGUGGGUCAGAGCAUCUCCAAAAUGGGAGGUCCUGUGGGGUGUUCCCAGUAUGCAGUGGUUAGUACCUACCAAAAGUGGUCCAAGGAAGGACGAACCAGGUCAAGAUUGUCCAAGGCUCACUGAUGCAUGUGGAGCGCGAAUGCAAGCCCGUCUGGUCCGAUCCCAAAGAAGAGCAAGGCACCAGGAUGCACUAUAGCAGUGGUUUUCAAAGUGGGGGCUGCCAGGGGGCACCCGGGAAGCCUCAACAAUUUGUUCUUCCAUCUACUACUCAACUGAAGGCGUGGUCUGGAAAGCUCUUUACUGCUUCAGUGGAUGAGACUGAAAUGAUAAGUGACCUAACCAAACCAAAGCCUUGACUUCACAGCAUGUAGACCAUUGAAAAUGAAGAGCAAACUGAGUCUCCUCAAGUUCUCUCACAUCAUUCCAUUGCUGGAUUCCCUCCACCUGCUCCAUGUAGCUGCAUGUACCAGAUUAAAAAAACAAACAGACACGUUUGCUUACAGAGUCAAAUAUGGACCAGGACCAGGCUACCUUAAAGCACUCUGCACCAUGUUCCCUUCGAGCUGCUAGCUCAGCUUGACUGGACCCACCAUCUCCUAAGAUGAUAAGACUUGCAAUAGCAUUUUCUGUCCUGAACACCUACCUUUUUACCAACCUCUUAAAUGAGCACUAAUAAAUUACUUUAAAAAAAAACCCUUUGACCCUUGUUUUGUUUUUGUUUCUCAUUAUACUAAAGGACUUCGCCUACUUAAGGCAGAGACAUCGAAGAGGGUUAUGCUAAAACAAAACCACCUACGUGAGUUUAUAAGCCCACAUUCUUUGCAGUUUGCAGUAUGUGCUCCUGUGCUGCAGGUGGCACUGUAAAUAUUUUAUGACAAUUUGCUGGCUAGAGGUAG
Molecule: long non-coding RNA, 1009 nt
Organism: Ictalurus punctatus (channel catfish)
Lineage: Eukaryota; Metazoa; Chordata; Actinopteri; Siluriformes; Ictaluridae
Source: Ensembl